ACACGUAAACAACCUGCCUUCAGGAUGGGGACAACAGACGGAAACGACUGCUAAUACCGAAUAAGUUCCAAGAGCCGCAUGGCCCAUGGAAGAAAAGGUGGCCUCUACCUGUAAGCUAUCGCCUGAAGAGGGGUUUGCGUCUGAUUAGCUGGUUGGAGGGGUAACGGCCCACCAAGGCGACGAUCAGUAGCCGGUCUGAGAGGAUGAACGGCCACAUUGGGACUGAGACACGGCCCAAACUCCUACAGGAGGCAGCAUG
Molecule: ribosomal RNA, 259 nt
Filed under: uncultured bacterium
Lineage: Bacteria
Description: partial 16S ribosomal RNA
Rfam family: Bacterial small subunit ribosomal RNA
Source: RNAcentral